This 243-nucleotide ribosomal RNA is filed under the name Blackburnia kukui. RNAcentral describes it as "partial 28S ribosomal RNA". It matches the Rfam family "Eukaryotic large subunit ribosomal RNA", at positions 1257 to 1462 of the family's 3401-position model. Lineage: Eukaryota; Metazoa; Arthropoda; Insecta; Coleoptera; Carabidae. The record is from RNAcentral.
GAAGUCGGAAUGCGCUAAGGAGUGUGUAACAACUCACCUGCCGAAGUUACUAGCCCUGAAAGUGGAUGGCGCUGAAGCAUCGUACUUAUACUUAACCGUCGGGACAGUAGCAACAUUUGUUUCAUAUAUGUAUGUCCAAGUGUUAUUAGGUCCCGACGAGUAGGAUGGUCGCAACGGUAAGCGCAAAAGGAUUGGGCGUGAGCCUGUCUGGAGCCGCCGUUGGUGCAGAUCUUGGUGGUAGUA